This 167-nucleotide ribosomal RNA is filed under the name Phoradendron villosum. RNAcentral describes it as "5.8S ribosomal RNA". It matches the Rfam family "5.8S ribosomal RNA". Rfam says of the family: 5.8S ribosomal RNA (5.8S rRNA) is a component of the large subunit of the eukaryotic ribosome. It is transcribed by RNA polymerase I as part of the 45S precursor that also contains 18S and 28S rRNA. The record is from RNAcentral. Lineage: Eukaryota; Viridiplantae; Streptophyta; Magnoliopsida; Santalales; Viscaceae.
GGAAUGACUCUCGACGACGGAUAUCUUGGCUCUUGCAUCGAUGAAGAACGCAGCGAAAUGCGAUAUGUUGUGUGAAUUGCAGAAUCCCGUGAACCAUUGAAUUUUUGAACGCAAGUUGCGCCCAAUGCCAUUUAUAGGUGGAGGGCACGCCUGCCUGGGUGUCAUUC